GGCGGAGUAGCAAAGUGGUUAUGCAGCGGCCUGCAAAGCCGUGGACGCCGGUUCGAUUCCGACCUCCGCCUCCA
RNAcentral lists this transfer RNA (74 nucleotides) under Neisseria sp. Its description in RNAcentral is "tRNA-Cys". It matches the Rfam family "tRNA". From Rfam's summary of the family: Transfer RNA (tRNA) molecules are approximately 80 nucleotides in length. Their secondary structure includes four short double-helical elements and three loops (D, anti-codon, and T loops). Further hydrogen bonds mediate the characteristic L-shaped molecular structure. tRNAs have two regions of fundamental functional importance: the anti-codon, which is responsible for specific mRNA codon recognition, and the 3' end, to which the tRNAs corresponding amino acid is attached (by aminoacyl-tRNA synthetases). tRNAs cope with the degeneracy of the genetic code in two manners: having more than one tRNA (with a specific anti-codon) for a particular amino acid; and 'wobble' base-pairing, i.e. permitting non-standard base-pairing at the 3rd anti-codon position. Lineage: Bacteria; Pseudomonadati; Pseudomonadota; Betaproteobacteria; Neisseriales; Neisseriaceae. The record is from RNAcentral.